ACUGACCUCAAAUGCAG
This 17-nucleotide ribosomal RNA is filed under the name Amanita rimosa. RNAcentral's name for it is "partial 28S ribosomal RNA". The record is from RNAcentral. Lineage: Eukaryota; Fungi; Basidiomycota; Agaricomycetes; Agaricales; Amanitaceae.